This 253-nucleotide ribosomal RNA is filed under the name uncultured bacterium. RNAcentral's name for it is "partial 16S ribosomal RNA". It matches the Rfam family "Bacterial small subunit ribosomal RNA", at positions 524 to 776 of the family's 1533-position model. The record is from RNAcentral.
UACGGGGGGGGCAAGCGUUGUUCGGAAUUACUGGGCGUAAAGAGCGUGUAGGCGGCCAUACAGGUCCGUUGUGAAAACUGGAGGCUUAACCUCCAGACGUCGAUGGAAACCGUAUGGCUAGAGUCCGGAAGAGGAGAGUGGAAUUCCUGGUGUAGCGGUGAAAUGCGCAGAUAUCUGGAAGAACACCGGUGGCGAAGGCGGUCAACUGGCCCUCAACUGACGCUGAGGCACGAAAGCGUGGGGAUCAAACAGG